RNAcentral lists this ribosomal RNA (321 nucleotides) under uncultured Methylobacterium sp. RNAcentral's name for it is "bacterial SSU rRNA". It matches the Rfam family "Bacterial small subunit ribosomal RNA", at positions 524 to 847 of the family's 1533-position model. The record is from RNAcentral. Lineage: Bacteria; Pseudomonadati; Pseudomonadota; Alphaproteobacteria; Hyphomicrobiales; Methylobacteriaceae.
UACGAAGGGGGCUAGCGUUGCUCGGAAUCACUGGGCGUAAAGGGCGCGUAGCCGGCGUUUUAAGUCGGGGGUGAAAGCCUGUGGCUCAACCACAGAAUGGCCUUCGAUACUGGGACGCUUGAGUAUGUUAGAGGUUGGUGGAACUGCGGGUGUAGAGGUGAAAUUCGUAGAUAUCACGAUGAACUCCAAUCGCGAAGGCAGGUGUCCGGGCUGCAACUGACGCUGAGGCUCGAAAGUGUGGGUAUCAAACAGGAUUAGAUACCGUGGUAGUCCACACAGUAAACGAUGUAUACUCGCGUUUUGCGAUAUAUUGUAAGCCGC